UGGGACCUACGGGGCGCAGCAGUGAGGAAUAUUGGUCAAUGGGCGGAAGCCUGAACCAGCCAAGUCGCGUGAGGGAAUAAGGCCCUACGGGUCGUAAACCUCUUUUGCCGGGGAGCAAGGGCGGGGACGUGUCCCGGCCCGGAGAGUACCCGGAGAAAAAGCAUCGGCUAACUCCGUGCCAGCAGCCGCGGUAAUACGGAGGAUGCGAGCGUUAUCCGGAUUUAUUGGGUUUAAAGGGUGCGUAGGCGGAAGGUUAAGUCAGCGGUCAAAUGUCGGUGCUCAACACCGGCCUGCCGUUGAAACUG
Molecule: ribosomal RNA, 305 nt
Filed under: uncultured bacterium
Lineage: Bacteria
Description: bacterial SSU rRNA
Rfam family: Bacterial small subunit ribosomal RNA
Source: RNAcentral